RNAcentral lists this ribosomal RNA (478 nucleotides) under uncultured bacterium. RNAcentral describes it as "partial 16S ribosomal RNA". It matches the Rfam family "Bacterial small subunit ribosomal RNA", at positions 28 to 507 of the family's 1533-position model. The record is from RNAcentral.
GAUGAACGCUGGCGGCGUGCUUAACACAUGCAAGUCGAACGGGAAUUAUCUUAUUGAAACUUCGGUCGAUUUAAUUUACUUCUAGUGGCGGCCGGGUGAGUCACGCGUGGGUAACCUGCCUUAUACAGGGGGAUAACAGUCAGAAAUGGCUGCUAAUACCGCAUAAGCGCACAGAGCUGCAUGGCUCAGUGUGAAAAACUCCGGUGGGAUAAGAUGGACCCGCGUUGGAUUAGCUGGUUGGUGGGGUAACGGCCCACCAAGGCGACGAUCCAUAGCCGGCCGGGGGGGGUGACCGACCGCAUUGGGGCUGAGGCACAGCCCAGACUCCUACGGAGGGCAGCAGUGGAGAAUAUUGCACGAUGGGGGAAACCGUGAUGCAGCGACGCCGCGGGAAGGAAGAAGUAGCUCGGUAUGUAAACUUCUAUCAGCAGAGAAGAUAGUGACGGUACCUGACAAAGAAGCCCCGGCUAACUACGUG